Molecule: ribosomal RNA, 207 nt
Filed under: uncultured bacterium
Lineage: Bacteria
Description: partial 16S ribosomal RNA
Rfam family: Bacterial small subunit ribosomal RNA
Source: RNAcentral
AGCGCAGGCGGACCGGCAAGUUGGAAGUGAAAACUAUGGGCUCAACCCAUAAAUUGCUUUCAAAACUGCUGGCCUUGAGUAGUGCAGAGGUAGGUGGAAUUCCCGGUGUAGCGGUGGAAUGCGUAGAUAUCGGGAGGAACACCAGUGGCGAAGGCGACCUACUGGGCGCCAACUGACGCUGAGGCUCGAAAGCAUGGGUAGCAAACA